CGGAACUCAUUUAAGGGUUGGCAGUGGAGGUGAGGGGAUCUUCUGGGAGAUCCCUGCUUACUUGAGGUCUUCUGAAGCCUUUUUAGGAUGGUGAAGGGACAAUUCAGAAGAAAUACAAAAGAAAAGGCCAAUUUUUCCCCAUCUGCCCCAGUCGUUUUGCUUCGAAGCUCUGAAACUGGGAUUGCUUUCCCAAUUGUUUGUUUCAGUGAAUGCCUCCAGGCUUCCCCUGCAGCAUCGUGUGGCACUGUGUCAUCUUUACAGAGAGGCUGGCCAGCAUCCCUGCACGGGGAUGUUUUGCCUGGAAAAUCCAUGGAAAACACUGGGAAUCAGAGGCCUGGAAAUCAGCCUAGGCUCACAUAGAAGACUGAGCAGGAGCUGCAGGCACCCACAUGGAGGGCAGAAAGCCUAUGCUCUAAGUGUGGGGAAAACGCACAAAAAUAUAAGGAACGUGCCAAUUGCUGUGAGAAAUGGACAAGAGUGAUGCUAAUAGAAAAAGGUGAAGUACUGCAAGAGAGGAAGCGCUGAUUACAGGCACAGCAGUGCAUAUAUUAACCUUAGGCUGUGUUGAAAAAUAUUCCAGCAACAAGUGCAAAUUCCUGCAUGGGCCAUUAGAAAGCUGCACCUUGCUCUUAUUGCUCUGGCUACAGAUGGACACGGUGAAAAUGUGAGCGCCUGGAGGUUGUCCCCUGUCUGAUGGGACAGACUGUCAUCACUUCUAUCCACUGCUGUCACAGAAUGGUGGGUCAGUAUUCCCCACAAGGCUGCCCCCAAGCAGAACACGCCAUCAGCAGUACCACAGUAUGAUGAAUUAACCAUGGGCUACGGUUAAUAAUGCAUUUGUCACAUUACCUUAUCACUGCUGUAGCUUGUAUCACAAUAAAUUAGUCAAAUCCUGACCUGCUUGCACGCAGCAGGAGUGAGGCAGUUCUCCUGCGUGAACACCUAGGGAUUUGCUCUCCGUUCCUUUAUGCCCAGGAAGGUGGGAAAAGGUCUCUCAGACCCCCACCCCCAGCUCACCCCUAUUACGCCCACUGCCCACAUCCCUCAGUGCCACAUCUCCAUGGAUCUGGAACACCUCCAUGGAUGGUGACCACCUCCCUGGGCAGCUCUGCCAGAGCCCGAUGAGUCUUUCAGACUUACAUCCAACCUGAACUUCCCGUGGUGCAACUUGAGGCCAUUAUCUCUCAUCCUAUCGUUGGUUACAAAAAAUCAGCGAUGGUUUGGCGCACCCAGAAGGAGGCAUUUAAUGGAUGAGUGGAGCGAUGGAGCUCUUUGCUGGAGAAGCCCAGCACUGUACCUGCACCAACACAAAGCCCACUGGCAGGAUCCAUCGCGCACCACUCCUCAGAUGAGC
This 1354-nucleotide long non-coding RNA is filed under the name Gallus gallus (chicken). Its description in RNAcentral is "lncRNA (ENSGALG00010003116.1)". The record is from RNAcentral. Lineage: Eukaryota; Metazoa; Chordata; Aves; Galliformes; Phasianidae.